AUUAUCAAUUUGGCUGAAAAU
RNAcentral lists this microRNA (21 nucleotides) under Rosa chinensis. RNAcentral's name for it is "sRNA RchiOBHm_Chr5g0056685". The record is from RNAcentral. Lineage: Eukaryota; Viridiplantae; Streptophyta; Magnoliopsida; Rosales; Rosaceae.